This 795-nucleotide ribosomal RNA is filed under the name uncultured Thermococcus sp. RNAcentral's name for it is "bacterial SSU rRNA". It matches the Rfam family "Archaeal small subunit ribosomal RNA", at positions 85 to 876 of the family's 1478-position model. Lineage: Archaea; Methanobacteriati; Methanobacteriota; Thermococci; Thermococcales; Thermococcaceae. The record is from RNAcentral.
ACGGCUCAGUAACACGUCGGUAACCUACCCUCGGGAGGGGGAUAACCCCGGGAAACUGGGGCUAAUCCCCCAUAGGCCUGAGGUACUGGAAGGUCCUCAGGCCGAAAGGGGCUUUUGCCCGCCCGAGGAUGGGCCGGCGGCCGAUUAGGUAGUUGGUGGGGUAACGGCCCACCAAGCCGAAGAUCGGUACGGGCUGUGAGAGCAGGAGCCCGGAGAUGGACACUGAGACACGGGUCCAGGCCCUACGGGGCGCAGCAGGCGCGAAACCUCCGCAAUGCGGGAAACCGCGACGGGGGGACCCCGAGUGCCGUGGCACCGCCACGGCUUUUCCGGAGUGUAAAAAGCUCCGGGAAUAAGGGCUGGGCAAGGCCGGUGGCAGCCGCCGCGGUAAUACCGGCGGCCCGAGUGGUGGCCGCUAUUAUUGGGCCUAAAGCGUCCGUAGCCGGGCCCGUAAGUCCCUGGCGAAAUCCCACGGCUCAACCGUGGGGCUUGCUGGGGAUACUGCGGGCCUUGGGACCGGGAGAGGCGGGGGGUACCCCUGGGGUAGGGGUGAAAUCCUAUAAUCCCAGGGGGACCGCCAGUGGCGAAGGCGCCCCGCUGGAACGGGUCCGACGGUGAGGGACGAAGGCCAGGGGAGCAAGCCGGAUUAGAUACCCGGGUAGUCCUGGCUGUAAAGGAUGCGGGCUAGGUGUCGGGUGAGCCUCGAGCUCGCCCGGUGCCGUAGGGAAGCCGUUAAGCCCGCCGCCUGGGGGAGUACGGCCGCAAGGCUGAAACUUAAAGGAAUUGGCGGGGGAG